CUCAAUCUCACUCUUUUACUCUUGUUUUUAGAUUUAAUUUUCUGCAGUGCUCAUCAGAACCCAACAAGAGACAGUGAAAUACUGUUGGUCAUAGCAGCCUGUCAGCGCAGCACCCUGGAUAUGCUUUGAUUUCCUGCCAAAUUAAACAAUAGUUCUGCUCUUAGGAAGUACCAGCUUCUAGAUAAGAUAUUUUCCUGGCUAGCAUUAAUUCUACCACUCUAUGUGUAGAAUUCCUGGUGAUAAGCACUCAAAGGACAAUAAGAAAGGCAAAUGAUAUGAAUUGUUGCAGAGAGCCUGAUGACAGAUUUUGUGAUAUGUUUCUGCUAACAGUUGAAAUGAAGUGGUUUUGAGCAUAGUCUCCUACAGAGCUGCAGCCCCAGCAUAGGCAGGAGCUUCUCACAGUGGUUUAUCAAACACAAAACAAAUAUUUGUUGAAGGCACAGUGUUGAUAGGGAUAUGUGGCAGGUGAACAGGCAAAUGUGAGCUUAGUUUUAAAACUCAUAAUGUCCCAAAAUCCAAAUCGUUCUUAUUGUAGCCCAACAGUUGAGAUCACAGGAUACAUCCAGAGUUAAAUGAAUUCCAAAUUCAAUGCUGAAAUAGCAGAACUUUUGAUGUGCCAUCAGCAAUGCCUAAACACACGUGUAUGCAGAUGUACUGUGUUAUCCUGAGAGGAGAAUACUCCUGAAUUUAAGAUUAUUCUUUCAGACCUUUCUCCCUCACACCCCAAAAGAUGUACAGAAAAGCUUACUAAGUACUUGUAAUCAGUAGAGAGCACAGAGAAAGGCUUUUUGCUAGUGGUUUAUUCAGCAAUGGGAGUGAUCCUCUUCAGUGUUCAAGGUUGUUUUGCUAUUGGGUUAAAUCUGUGAGUUCAGCUUACUGUUACUGUUUGGGCUAACACUCAUGCAUGUUGUCUUGCAGCUCUAGAAGGUCAAAACCUUAAAUUGCAGUAUUAAGAGAAGUGCAGAGCUCCUUGGGCUGUCCAUCACUGCCUCCACUGCUGCUGUUAAAGCUUCAGCUCUUUCCCAGCCACAGCACAUAAUAGAGAGCAACGAGUGUCCAGCCCAAGUCCAGCUGCAUGGUUACAGCUUUAGUCAGUAGAGGGAGUAUGGACACCUGGGUUAAAGCUGCACAGGUCACCCAUGACAUCCAAGAGAUUUCAGAUUUCAGCUGAAUGAACAGAUAUGUUCACAGAUAUUAUUUCGUCUCUCUUUGACUCAUUUACUUCAUCUGUAAAGAGGGGCUUCAUCUUCACACAAAAGACUGACUAUAAUCUACUGUCUGAACAUCCACUUGCCUUUGGGCUCAUGGGCAGGAAACAGGCUUUGUGUUUGUGAAAAUGGCAUAUUUCUUCCAUCAUGCAACGUGAUCCAUCUUAUUGUUUUGUAUUUGUGUGGCGUGCUGUCCCACAUUCCUUGGAAUCAUUGCUACUGCAGCAAGGUAGUUUACUUGAAAAUGUAGAACAACAGGAACUAGACUGUGCUAAUGAUUAAAUUAUACUGAUGGUUGGAGUUUAAGUAACAGCUAAUGCACUAAUUUCAGUAUAGGAAAUAUACUAAAAAAAGCAACAAGAGCUCCUCUUGAUCUUCAUAAUUAAUGAGAACUGCCAUGAUCCUUCAACAUAUUUCUACCCACACUUCCUUUUAUGUUAAGAAAUAUACAGGAACUCAGAGAAGUCAGCUGGUAGAAAGCCUUUCACAAAGCACUUUCCAGCACACUGCACAAGCCACGUGUGCUCCCCUAAAGUCUCCUGGAGCCAGAUCUUGUCCAUGUUGAAUCCUGGCCAACAGUCUCAUUUCUUCCAGUGAAACAGAACAAAGUGAGGCCUUCAGACAAGAGUGUACCCAACACACACAUCUGAGCUAUGUGUACCCAAAUAAGCACCAUCAGCUGUGCUGAGCGUUUCUGGAAGGGAAAUGAGUGGGAUUCUCAUCAUUUAACUUUAAAUAUCUCAUUUGGCUAGUUCUUAAAUAUCUCUUUAAUUUAUGGAGGGAAGGGAGCAUUGUUGGAGAGCAAUUAAUCCAUUUUAGGUGUCUGCAGUAGGAUGAGGGGAAUUCUACCCCAGUGCCUGUUCCUCUGCACUCAUUAUAGAGAAAGCCUAGACAGUUGGCUUGGAUAUAAAUGUCAGAAGAUGAGAGGUUUCUCUCACCUAUCUAAAUACAACAGAAUCUGCUAGAUAUUAGAGGCUCUGUGGUGGCUCUGGGUCAGAUAACAAAUGCCUGAAAACAUGUCUGCACUUGGCUGAAUCAUUGCAACCAUGCAAGAUCUUAAUUUUAAUUUAAAGACUGUUUAUAAGAAGUUUCUGAACUUUAGUCUUGGCCUAGAAUGAGUAAGGCCUAAAGCAGCCACUGAUCCUCAAGAUAUGGUCUUUCAGCAGCUCUGUAAUCAAAGGAAAAAAAACAGCUUUUCUUUAGAUCACUGCUUUAAUCUUGUUCCUCCCACCAAUGCUGGAAUUUUGCUUUCUGCCCCCAGAUGCAGAAGGCUCUUUAUAGUGUCAGCCUGAGUGAACAGUAAGAGCUCACGCUGUCAUUGCGGCUGCACCUUUGAGGCAGUGGAAAUCUCACAUUACUGAAAGCUGACACUAAUGAAGCUGUGCAAUAUUUUCAAAUAUAACUCCUGCCACCACUCAGUUCCCACAGUACGUAGGCAGGGAUUUCUAGGCCUGUGGUAGGGAAAAGAAAGAAGGGAUUCAAUUCUGAAGCCCUUGUUGGCAUUUGGGGUCUUGCCCCUUCACCUGGCCUUUAUGUGAACUGUCAUCUUUAAAAGGUUGCUGCCUUUGGGGACCAAGUGAGGGACUGGGACAUUAGGGUGGGUAACUUACUGGUAUGUGAGAAGUUGAGUGUCUCAGCUCUUUGCAGAGAGCUCCUGAUGCUGAAUAAAAUGGAAUGGUACUUAAA
Non-coding RNA from Cyanistes caeruleus (blue tit), 2894 nucleotides. NCBI's taxonomy places the organism in Eukaryota, Metazoa, Chordata, Aves, Passeriformes, Paridae. The record is from RefSeq and is a predicted model, not a curated record.